This 253-nucleotide ribosomal RNA is filed under the name uncultured prokaryote. RNAcentral's name for it is "partial 16S ribosomal RNA". It matches the Rfam family "Bacterial small subunit ribosomal RNA", at positions 525 to 777 of the family's 1533-position model. The record is from RNAcentral.
ACGGAGGGUGCUAGCGUUGUUCGGAAUCACUGGGCGUAAAGGGCGUGUAGGCGGUCUGUUAAGUCUGGUGUGAAAUCCCCUCGCUCAACGAGGGAACGGCGCCGGAUACUGGCAGACUCGAGUACCGGAGAGGAAGGUGGAAUUCCCGGUGUAGAGGUGAAAUGCGUAGAUAUCGUUUGGAACGCCAACGGUGAAAACAGCUCGCUGGGGGUGUGCUGACGCUGAGACACGAAAGCCAGGGGAGCGAACGGGA